This 280-nucleotide unclassified non-coding RNA is filed under the name Glomus sp. RNAcentral's name for it is "partial contains 5.8S ribosomal RNA and internal transcribed spacer 2". The stretch from base 1 to 65 matches the Rfam family "5.8S ribosomal RNA", at positions 84 to 154 of the family's 154-position model. The record is from RNAcentral. Lineage: Eukaryota; Fungi; Glomeromycota; Glomeromycetes; Glomerales; Glomeraceae.
GUGAAUCAUCAAAUUUUUGAACGCACAUUGCACUCUCCUCGGAGAGUAUGCCUGUUUGAGGGUCAGCCUAUAAAAAUUGACCUCGUUGCUGUUUCGCGGUGGCGUUCGUCGGUAAUUGGGUCAUCAUAAAUCCUGUUGGUUUUUAUGCGACUUAAAAUUUUCUUUUUGAUUUCAUGAACGUUCCUACGAUUUAUUUCUUUACACGUUUAAGGUAUCGCUUUUUAUUAGACGUGACCAUCAUAUGGGAUCGCGUUCAUAAUCUUUAAUUAUCUGACCUCAG